Molecule: ribosomal RNA, 2129 nt
Filed under: groundwater metagenome
Description: bacterial LSU rRNA
Rfam family: Bacterial large subunit ribosomal RNA
Source: RNAcentral
UCAAGCGGGUGAAAGCGCACGGUGGAUGCCUUGGCAUCAAGGGCCGAAGAAGGGCGUAGUACGGCUACGAAAAGCUCCGAUCAGCUGCCAAACAAGCUUAGUCGGGGAUUCCCGAAUGGGGCAACCCGUCUCGAUAAAAUCGGGACACCGCCAGCCGAACACAUAGGCUGGAGGGAGGCAAAGUGGGGGAAGUGAAACAUCUCAGUACCCUGAGUAGAAGAAAUCUAUAGAGAUUCCCGUAGUAGCGGCGAGCGAACUGGGAAGAGCCUAAUCUCGAUAACCUUAGUGGCAUCAGAGCCUAUGUUUAUCGGGGGUUGUAAGGCAGGUUUGACUGAAUCUGGAAUAAGUCGAGGAGUUACCAACCGAAUCCUAGUAGAAGGUCCCUGGAAAGGGCCACCACAGACGGUGACAGUCCGGUAAACGAAAGGAGUAGGCUCCUGAUCUGUCCUUGAGUACCACGGGGCACGAAGAACCUUGUGGGAAUCCGCCCUGACCACAGGGCAAGGCUAAAUACCCUUGAUGACCGAUAGUGAACUAGUACCGUGAGGGAAAGGUGAAAAGUACCCCGAGAGGGGAGUGAAAAGACCUGAAACCGUGUGCUGACAAGCAGUCAGAGCCUUGAUGCAAAUCUUGGUAAUGGCGUGCCUAUUGAAGAAUGAGCCGGCGAGUUAAUCUGUGUGGCUGGUUAAGCGACUUUAGUCGUGGAGCCGUAGCGAAAGCGAGUCCGAAUAGGGCGUCGGGAGCAAUCCCAAGUCGUACGGAUUAGACCCGAAGCUGGGUGAGCUAUCCAUGGCCAGGAUGAAACCUCGAUAAAAUCGAGGUGGAGGUCCGAACUGGUGAUCGUUGCAAAGAUUUCAGAUGAGCUGUGGAUAGAGGUGAUAUGCCAAACGAACCCAGGGAUAGCUGGUACUCCCCGAAAUGUAUUUAGGUACAGCCUUGGAUGUUCGCUAGUGGAGGUAGGGCACUGGAUGGAUUCGGGAGAUAACAUCUUACCAACUCCAACCAAACCACGAAUGCCAUUAGCCAAAGUCCAGGAGUGAGACUGUGGGGGAUAAGCUUCAUAGUCGAGAGGGAAACAGCCCAGACCAUCAGCUAAGGUCCCUAAGCGCUGACUAAGUGGUAAAGGAAGUUGCGUUGCACAGACAGCCAGGAGGUUGGCUCAGAAGCAGCCAUCCUUUAAAGAGUGCGUAACAGCUCACUGGUUGAGUGAUGCUGCGCCGAUAAUCCAACGGGGCUUAAGUCAGUCACCGAAGCUAUGGCUCUCCGACGCAAGUCGGAGGGGGUAGGGGAGCGUUCUUUCAGCCAUGAAGUCGUUCUGUAAAGAAUGGUGGAGUUGAAAGAAGUGAGUAUGUCGGCAUGAGUAGCGCAAGGAGUGUGAAAAACACUUCCACCGAAAAUCUGAGGUUUCCUAUGCAAGGUUAAUCCGCAUAGGGUUAGUCGGGCCUAAGCCGAGGCCGAGAGGCGUAGGCGAUGGACAACGGGUUAUUAUUCCCGUACCGUUUCUAUAGAGACAAAGGGAGGACACGGGAGGGUAAGCUAAGCAUACCCAUCGGACAUGGUGUGUUCUCCAUCGAAGGCAACGCUGGGGCAGGGAAAUCCACUCCGGAUGUCAUAGCUGAUGAUGGGGAGAAGUUGAGGGGAAACCCGAGGCAACUUAGUUGACCCCAAACCGUCAAGAAAAGUCUCGUUGUCGAUGAAGUAGAAGCGCCCGUACCGCAAACCGACUCUGGUAGAUUGGGAUAAGAGUCCUAAGGUGUUCGAGUAAUCCCUCGUUAAGGAACUCGGCAAUCUAACCCCGUAACUUCGGGAUAAGGGGUGCCCCGGCUCUGCCGGGGUGACAUUAAAUUGGUCCAAGCAACUGUUUAACAAAAACACAGGUCUCUGCAAAAGCGUAAGCUGAAGUAUAGGGGCCGAUACCUGCCCAGUGCUGGAAGGUUAAGGGGAGAUGUCAUCAUAAGCAAUUGUGAGAAGCUUUGAACUGAAGCCCCAGUGAACGGCGGCCGCAACUAUAACGGUCCUCAGGUGGCGAAGUCUCUUGGCGGGUAAGCUCCGACCCGCACGAAUGGUGUAAUGACUUGGACGCUGUCUCAACGAGGGGCUCGGCGAAAUUGAAAUACCCGUGAAGAUGC